GCUCCCAUCGUCUAGCGGUCCAGGACAUCGGAUUCUCAUUCCGGCAACAUGGGUUCGAUUCCCAUUGGGAGUGCCA
RNAcentral lists this transfer RNA (76 nucleotides) under Alphaproteobacteria bacterium. RNAcentral's name for it is "tRNA-Glu". It matches the Rfam family "tRNA". Rfam says of the family: Transfer RNA (tRNA) molecules are approximately 80 nucleotides in length. Their secondary structure includes four short double-helical elements and three loops (D, anti-codon, and T loops). RNAcentral also lists the same sequence under 1 other name. The record is from RNAcentral. Lineage: Bacteria; Pseudomonadati; Pseudomonadota; Alphaproteobacteria.